AGCAGCAGCCGCGGUAAUACGGAGGAUCCGAGCGUUAUCCGGAAUUAUUGGGUUUAAAGGGUGCGUAGGCGGAUAGAUAAGUCAGUGGUGAAAGACGGUGGCUCAACCAUCGCAGUGCCGUUGAUACUGUUUAUCUUGAAUAUGGAUGAGGUAGGCGGAAUGUGGCAAGUAGCGGUGAAAUGCAUAGAUAUGCCACAGAACACCGAUUGCGAAGGCAGCUUACCAAGGCAAAAUUGACGCUCAUGCACGAAAGCGUGGGGAGCAAACAGGAUUAGAUACCCGAGUAGUCCCUGUCUCUUAUAU
RNAcentral lists this ribosomal RNA (303 nucleotides) under uncultured bacterium. RNAcentral's name for it is "partial 16S ribosomal RNA". It matches the Rfam family "Bacterial small subunit ribosomal RNA", at positions 507 to 809 of the family's 1533-position model. The record is from RNAcentral.